RNAcentral lists this ribosomal RNA (484 nucleotides) under uncultured bacterium. RNAcentral describes it as "partial 16S ribosomal RNA". It matches the Rfam family "Bacterial small subunit ribosomal RNA", at positions 30 to 507 of the family's 1533-position model. The record is from RNAcentral.
AUUGAACGCUGGCGGCAGGCCUAACACAUGCAAGUCGAGCGGAUGAAGGGAGCUUGCUCCUGGAUUCAGCGGCGGACGGGUGAGUAAUGCCUAGGAAUCUGCCUGGUAGUGGGGGAUAACGUCCGGAAACGGGCGCUAAUACCGCAUACGUCCUGAGGGGGAAAGUGGGGGAUCUUCGGACCUCACGCUAUCAGAUGACCCUAGGUCGGAUUAGCUAGUUGGUGGGGUAAAGGCCUACCAAGGCGACGAUCCGUAACUGGUCUGAGAGGAUGAUCAGUCACACUGGAACUGAGACACGGUCCAGACUCCUACGGGAGGCAGCAGUGGGGAAUAUUGGACAAUGGGCGAAAGCCUGAUCCAGCCAUGCCGCGUGUGUGAAGAAGGUCUUCGGAUUGUAAAGCACUUUAAGUUGGGAGGAAGGGCAGUAAGUUAAUACCUUGCUGUUUUGACGUUACCAACAGAAUAAGCACCGGCUAACUUCGUG